CUCCAAGGGAUAAUAAGAUAUGAAAGUAUUGGUGAAAGACCAAGUGACUCUCUAAAGAAGUAUUGACUGUAGCUGGCCAAAAAGUUGGUACAGUUCUGCUAGAGUGAGGACGAAUCUCUUGAGAAUACCUUCAUAGAACUUGGAAAUAGCUUUAACAAUUCAUCAACCAAUAGAAGCAGUUUGACCCUUACGGGAGCCAGAAGGAACAACAAAAAGGGGGGUUAAACUACCUCCAUCCUUAGACUUUUCCAAAUAGAUUUCGAGACUUCUUGCCUCAUCCAAGGAAUGCCAGUCCUGUUAAUCUUGAAAGGAAGAUGGAAAGUAGGUAGGAGUACAAAGGACAACUCUGUAAGGAACAAAAAUUUUAAAGUUCUUGGGAUGAAAAGGUUUGGAUCUUGGAAACCCUUCUGCUGAGCUAAUGGCCAAAUAAAUACUUCAAGGAAACAACCAUAGAGAUGUAUCAUAAAGGGGAGCUAUCGACCAGGUACAAAAGCCAAAAGGAAGAUCCCAUUUAGAGUAAAGGCUUUAAAAGGAUGUCUGCUUUUUAACCGUUGUCAGAAAUCUGGAAGCCACAGUGUUCAAGGCCCACUUAAAUCAGAGAGAGCCUAAAUAGCUGACCUAAACUAGAAGAGAGUUCAGACUAAAAGCCUUUACCAAAGCUGGAUUGUAACAAUUCCAAACUUAUGCAAGUUACACCAAUCAGAGAAGACAUAACAAAUCCUAUAAUAGGUCUUAUUAUUAGUGGAUUAAUGCCUUGAUUGCAAAAGAGUAUAUACAACAGCUGAAGAAAAACCUCGUACUUCCCGCAUAGUCUUCAUCAUCAUUCAACAUCUGGUCUUCCCAACAUUCUCACAAUUCUUCUAAAUAUGUGAUUCAGCUGCCACUCAAACUUUUCCAGAUGAUGACGGCCAAGGAAAUCUGCUCUGAUAUUGUCCGGACCUGGGACAUAGACUGCAGAGCUACCCAAAAAACUUUUUGAGCCAAAUCCACCAUUGGUGAACUUUCUUGAAACAGACAUUGAGUCCUGGUGCCAUUGUGAUGUUUACAUAUGAGACUGUUGUCCAGUUGUCGGAUUCCCAAGAAACUCUUUCAGAACACUGGGUGAAAUUGAAG
Pelobates cultripes (western spadefoot toad) is the source of this 1113-nucleotide non-coding RNA. Lineage: Eukaryota; Metazoa; Chordata; Amphibia; Anura; Pelobatidae. The record is from the annotation of a GenBank genome assembly.